This is a non-coding RNA of Artibeus jamaicensis (Jamaican fruit-eating bat), 741 nucleotides long. Lineage: Eukaryota; Metazoa; Chordata; Mammalia; Chiroptera; Phyllostomidae. The record is from the annotation of a RefSeq genome assembly.
AAUCUGGAACAGAGAUCUAGGAUCACCAAACUUGGCCAGUUCCAAGCCUCCUACUGAAUCCUCAGAGGCUCCAGGAAGAAGCAAGGAUGGAGAUUCCCCUGGGAGCUUCACUGAUGCUCCUGUGUCUGCAGCUACCCUGGUCAAACCAACAACCACAGGUAGAACAGAGCCCAGCUUUCCUGAAACUCCAGGAAGGAGAGAGCUUCACACUCAACUGUAGUUACACAGACCGCAAUUUCAACUCCUUCCAGUGGUUUAGACAGGAUCCUGGGGAAGGCCUCAGCAACCUGAUGCGAAUGCAAUCAUAUGAGAAGGAGAAGGUGAGCAGAAAACUCACAGCCAGAGUUAACACGGAGGGCCUGCACUUUUCCCUGCACGUGAGGGAUUCUAAGCUCCCGGACUCCACCACAUUCCUGUGUGCAGCAAGCACACAGUGUGGCACCUGCACCUGCACCUGCACCUAAACCCUGCAGAGCCCUGCACUGCCCCCUAUAGGGGCUCCAGGACACUGACUGUACCUUGGGUCUGAGCAAAGGGAAAAGGGAGGGGCUUUUUAUACCAAAAUGUCAAAUAAUUUUUAUUUGAAACCACAUGCACAGGGAUAAAUAAUGUGGUCAAGUACCAUCUGAUGUAUUUUGUUUCUCACUCUGAAGUUCUUACUCCUUUAAAACUAGUACAAAACCCUGAGGUUUAUUAUCAGAGAGGUGAGAGCAUGAAAAGAACAAAGAGAGAAGAGAGUAA